AUUGAACGCUGGCGGCAGGCCUAACACAUGCAAGUCGAACGAGUGGCGGACGUAUGAGUAAUGUCUGGGAAACUGCCUGAUGGAUGGGGAUAACUACUGGAAACUGUAUCUAAUACCGCAUACCAUCAGAUGUGCCCAGAUGGGAUUAGCUUGUUGGUGGGGUAACGGCUCACCAAGGCGACGAUCCCUAGCUGGUCGGAGAGGAUGAACAGCCACACUGGAACGGAGACACGGUCCAGACUCCUACGGGAGGCAGCAGUGGGGAAUAUUGCACAAUGGGCGAAAGCCUGAUGCAGCCAUGCCGCGUGUAUGAAGAAGGCCUUCGGGUUGUAAAGUACUUUAAGCGGGGAGGCGUUACCAGCAGAAGAAGCACCGGCUAACUCCGUGCCAGCAGCCGCGGUAAUAC
RNAcentral lists this ribosomal RNA (406 nucleotides) under uncultured bacterium. RNAcentral's name for it is "partial 16S ribosomal RNA". It matches the Rfam family "Bacterial small subunit ribosomal RNA", at positions 30 to 526 of the family's 1533-position model. The record is from RNAcentral.